RNAcentral lists this ribosomal RNA (504 nucleotides) under uncultured bacterium. RNAcentral describes it as "partial 16S ribosomal RNA". It matches the Rfam family "Bacterial small subunit ribosomal RNA", at positions 30 to 523 of the family's 1533-position model. The record is from RNAcentral.
AUUGAACGCUGGCGGCAUGCCUUACACAUGCAAGUCGAACGGCAGCAUGGAGAGCUUGCUCUCUGAUGGCGAGUGGCGAACGGGUGAGUAAUGCAUCGGAACGUACCGUGUAAUGGGGGAUAACGUAGCGAAAGUUACGCUAAUACCGCAUACGACCUGAGGGUGAAAGCAGGGGAUCGCAAGACCUUGCGUUAUACGAGCGGCCGAUGUCAGAUUAGCUAGUUGGUGAGGUAAAGACUCACCAAGGCGACGAUCUGUAGCGGGUGUGAGAGGAUGAUCCGCCACACUGGGACUGAGACACGGCCCAGACUCCUACGGGAGGCAGCAGUGGGGAAUUUUGGACAAGGGGGGCAACCCUGAUUCAGCCAUGCCGCGUGAGUGAAGAAGGCCUUCGGGUUGUAAAGCUCUUUCGGCCGGGAAGAAAUCGCACAGGCUAAUACUCUGUGUGGAUGACGGUACCGGCAUAAGAAGCACCGGCUAACUACGUGCCAGCCGCCGCGGUAA